RNAcentral lists this ribosomal RNA (490 nucleotides) under uncultured bacterium. RNAcentral's name for it is "partial 16S ribosomal RNA". It matches the Rfam family "Bacterial small subunit ribosomal RNA", at positions 30 to 507 of the family's 1533-position model. The record is from RNAcentral.
AUUGAACGCUGGCGGCAGGCCUAGCACAUGCAAGUCGAACGGUAACAGGAAGAAGCUUGCUUCUUUGCUGACGAGUGGCGGACGGGUGAGUAAUGUCUGGGAAACUGCCUGAUGGAGGGGGAUAACUACUGGAAACGGUAGCUAAUACCGCAUAACGUCGCAAGACCAAAGAGGGGGACCUUCGGGCCUCUUGCCAUCGGAUGUGCCCAGAUGGGAUUCGCUAGUAGGUGGGGUAACGGCUCACCUAGGCGACGAUCCCUAGCUGGUCUGAGAGGAUGACCAGCCACACUGGAACUGAGACACGGUCCAGACUCCUACGGGAGGCAGCAGUGGGGAAUAUUGCACAAUGGGCGCAAGCCUGAUGCAGCCAUGCCGCGUGUAUGAAGAAGGCCUUCGGGUUGUAAAGUACUUUCAGCGGGGAGGAAGGGAGUAAAGUUAAUACCUUUGCUCAUUGACGUUACCCGCAGAAGAAGCACCGGCUAACUCCGUG